GUAUUCGUAGCUUAAUAACAAAGCAUAGUGCUGAAGCCACUAAAAUGAGCUAAUGCUCCAAAUACA
RNAcentral lists this transfer RNA (66 nucleotides) under Phrynocephalus guttatus kushakewitschi. Its description in RNAcentral is "tRNA-Phe". The record is from RNAcentral. RNAcentral also lists the same sequence under 1 other name. Lineage: Eukaryota; Metazoa; Chordata; Lepidosauria; Squamata; Agamidae.